RNAcentral lists this ribosomal RNA (406 nucleotides) under uncultured bacterium. RNAcentral's name for it is "partial 16S ribosomal RNA". It matches the Rfam family "Bacterial small subunit ribosomal RNA", at positions 30 to 526 of the family's 1533-position model. The record is from RNAcentral.
AUUGAACGCUAGCGGCAGGCCUAACACAUGCAAGUCGAACGAGUGGCGGACGGGUGAGUACUGUCUGGGCAACUGCCUGCUGGAGGGGGAUAACUACUGGAAACGGUAGCUAAUACCGCAUACCAUCGGAUGUGCCCAGAUGGGCUUAGCUAGUAGGGGGGGUAACGGCUCACCUAGGCGACGAGCCCUAGCUGGUCUGAGAGGAUGACCAGCCACACUGGAACUGAGACACGGUCCAGACUCCUACGGGAGGCAGCAGUGGGGAAUAUUGCACAAUGGGCGAAAGCCUGAUGCAGCCAUGCCGCGUGUAGGAAGAAGGCCUUCGGGUUGUAAAGUACUUUCAGCGGGGAGGCGUUACCCGCAGAAGAAGCACCGGCUAACUCCGUGCCAGCCGCCGCGGUAAUAC